RNAcentral lists this ribosomal RNA (419 nucleotides) under Reyranella massiliensis. Its description in RNAcentral is "bacterial SSU rRNA". It matches the Rfam family "Bacterial small subunit ribosomal RNA", at positions 45 to 509 of the family's 1533-position model. The record is from RNAcentral. Lineage: Bacteria; Pseudomonadati; Pseudomonadota; Alphaproteobacteria; Hyphomicrobiales; Reyranellaceae.
GGCUUACACAUGCAAGUCGAACGCGUGUAGCAAUACACGAGUGGCGCACGGGUGAGUAACACGUGGAUAUCUGCCUUUUGGUUCGGAAUAACCCUGGGAAACUAGGGCUAAUACCGAAUGGUUCCUACGGGAUAAAGAUUUAUCGCCAAAAGAUGAGUCCGCGUCCGAUUAGCUAGUUGGUGAGGUAAUGGCUCACCAAGGCGACGAUCGGUAGCUGGUCUGAGAGGACGAUCAGCCACACUGGGACUGAGACACGGCCCAGACUCCUACGGGAGGCAGCAGUGGGGAAUAUUGGACAAUGGGGGCAACCCUGAUCCAGCCAUGCCGCGUGAGUGAUGAAGGCCUUCGGGUUGUAAAGCUCUUUUGGCGGGGACGAUGAUGACGGUACCCGCAGAAUAAGCCCCGGCUAACUUCGUGCC